Molecule: long non-coding RNA, 5481 nt
Filed under: Sus scrofa (pig)
Lineage: Eukaryota; Metazoa; Chordata; Mammalia; Artiodactyla; Suidae
Description: lncRNA (ENSSSCG00055026972.1)
Source: RNAcentral
CCACUUCACUUAGCUGUUCUGGGUUUUUUUCUUGUUCCUUCAUCUGCCUCUUAUUUCUCUGCCAUUUCAUUUCAUUUAGCUUUCUGUGUGUCUCCUUUUUUGCAGGCUACAGGGUUGUAGCCUCUCUUGAUUCUUGGGUCUGUCCCCUUGUGGAUGAAGUUGAUACAGGGGCUUGCUCUAGGCUUGCUAAUGGGAGGGACUGGUGCCUGCUCACUGGUAGGUAGAGCUGAGUCUUUCCCUCUGUUGAUUGGAGCUUUGUCUCUGGGUAUGAUUGGGGGCCGGUGUGUGCCUAAGAGGGCUUUAGGCAGCCUGUUUGCUAAUGGGUAGGGCUGUGUUCCCACUCUGUUUGUUGUUUGGCCUGGGGCAUCUUAGCCCUGAUGGGUCUGACCCAGAUUCUUAUGGAGUCCCUGCUUUGCCCUGGGACCCAGAGCACUUGAAACCCUGUGUUCACCCUCUAAGAAUGGAGUAUUUGUUUCCCACAGUCCUGUGAAGCUCCUGUGCUCAAGCCCUGCUGGCUUUCAAUGCCAAAUGCUCUGGGGGCUCCUCCUCCCAAUACCAGACCCCAAGCCUGGGGAGCCUGAUGUGGGGUUCAGAACUCUCUCUCCUAUGGAGGAGCCUCUGUGAUACUGUUAUUUUCCAGUCUGUGGGUCACCUAAUUGGUGGGUAUGGGAUUGCUUACAUCUCAAAAGUGCCCUUCUUACCAUCUUGACAUGGCUUCUUCUUUGUCUCUGGGUAUAGGAUAUAUUUUUUGGUAGCUUCCAGUCUAUUUUGUUGAUGGCUGUUCAGCAGUUAGUUGUAAUUUUGGUGUUGCCAUGAGAGGAAGUAAGCUGAAGUCCUUCUACCCCUCCAUCUUGUCUCUCCCUGUGUAUGCUUUCUAGUUCAUUGCAUUUUAACUUGUAUCUUGGUAGCAUUACCAAGUAUGAAAUUAUUUGACCUCAGUAAAUCCUUUUCUCAUCUUUAUAGAGUUCUGAAUAAAAACACCCCUCCAGGUACCAUUAAAUAUAGAUACUGAAACUGAGAAUAAUCUACCCAGUUCUCUUGGUCCAAGGUUAUAGUGCUGAAUUCAGUACUGGAGAGUGGACCUUGCUGUGUUUUUGUUUGGUUGCAUAACAACCAUUAAAUAUUAUUAAUUUUUGGAGGAAUUUCUUCUUUCUGAUUAGGCAUGUCAGUCAGCUUUCCUGCCCUGUCCUAGCUGACAGCCAGUCACAGAACUCAGGACUACCUAGAACCUUGAGAUGACUGAAUCAAGAACAAUGUUUUUCGAAGCUCAUUUAUUCCUGCAUUUGGACCCAGUAGUUGGUUGAGUCAUUGAGCUGUCCUGGUUUGAUACUGACUAUUCGGUCUCAAAGGCUGGUUUCCUUUACUUUCUCGUUUCCUCCCUUCCACUUUUUUUUCCUUCCUUCUUUCUCUCCUUUCCUUUUCCUCCCUCCCUUCCUCCCUUCACCCCUCCCUUCCUUCCUUUCUCCUUUCCUUCCUCUCUUUCUUUAUCUUUCUUUCUUCCCAAAUAAAAUUAUAAAUCAUUUAAUUACCUUUUGCGUGUGUGUGUGAAUGUUUAAGAUGUAUCUAUUAGCAAAUUUCAAGUAUACUAUUAACUGUAGUCACCAUGGUUUAUAUUAGAUCCUCAGAACGUAUUCAUCUUAAAACUUAGAGUUUGUGUCCUUUUAUUAUCUUCAAAGCCUUCUCUAGUUUCCAGUUUCAGCCCCUGGUAUUCCCUCCAAUAAAUUACAUUUUUAUCAAAAUUUGUCUUUGAUAUUUGAACUCUUUUCAAAUACAGCACAAAUUCUUCUAGUAAAUAUAAUGAGCAAAUCCAGGAAUUCUCAAGAGGAGAAUAAUUUAUUUCAGAUGGUACUUCAUAUUAUAAAAGGUCAACAAGGGAGGAAAAGGGGAGGUAAAUAUUAGAGAAAGUUUUGUUACUUGUAGGUCCUCUGGGUACUCCCUGCUGGUAAUGCCAGUUCAUUCAGGGUCAGUUCAUGUUGGCCCAUCUUUCUCUUGUCAGCUUAUGGGAUCAAGUGCUGCAAAUAUUUUUCUGGGCAGAUUCAAUGAGUGUUAGUUUACCUUUAGUCACAUAGGUCAUAUAGACGAAGAUGGAGCCAAGGUAGGUAAAUUAAGGAGGCGCAAUCAGGUCCCAGAGGCACACAGGCUAAGAGCUCAUGUAACAGGAAAUAGAGACUCAAAAUCUGAGAAUGGGGAUUAAAAAAGGCAGGCACCCACCUGCACAGGUGAUAUUAAAGGUACUCAAAAGUCUAAGGCAGAGCAUCUGAGCACUGUGUGUUGCAUAUCUAGGCAAAGGCACAAAUGCUGGAGUGUCAUUUCCUCCAUUUGAAUCCACAUUCCUCCACUUAUUAGUGUUGUGACCCAGACAAGCUAUAUAAUAACCUCUCAUCUCUCUAUGCCUCUGUUUACUCAGGUAUAAAAUAUGGACAAUUGUAAUAUCUACCUUACAAGUGUUUACUAAGGAUAAAACUAAUGAGUUAAUACAGAUACAGUGCUUAAAAUCGUGCUUGGUGCACAGUGUUUAAUAAAUAUGAACUCUUAAGAGGCACUGGUUGGGGUUCAACAGUGAGAUUCUCCUUAGGCACUUGACCCUGAGUAUAAGUAGGAGGAACAAAGAGCCCUUAGAUGGAACCAGCAAUUCGUGGCUGAGAGUCCAGAAUGCUCACCUCCCAAAGACAAGCCUGAAUUUGGAGACAAAUGUGGCAUUCUACACCCUGGAGGAUAACUUGCAGAUCUCACAUGAAAGAGACUUAGAUAUAAUUCUCAUUCUUCCCCCCUCAUUUUUCUUCUCCUUUUUUUGUUAAAAAAUUCAGCUGUAAUUUAGUGGCGAGAACAUCCUUAGCCUUUGUUCCCUAAUCCCUAACAUAGGCACAUUCUCUGUGUGAAAUGAAAUUAUCUGUAUGAAAGCAUCUUGUACAGUUAUGGAAAGUUUAUAUUACUUAGAGCCCUUACUCAACUCAAACUAGCUAAGAACAUAAAUGGAGUUAAUUAACUGAUGAAACUGGACAGGACAUUGGAUAUUUCAUGGGUUGAAGGACAAAUCGUAGGAACCUGGUCCUUGGAGACUGGAACGAGGUAUGCAGAGUGACCUGGAUUUUUUUUGUCUUCAUUAAGACUACUUUGUGGCACAACUCCAGAGGGCACUGUUCCUGUGGUAUUGCAGAGGAGUGGCACUCUGUCAGGAGGACAGAGUAGGGGGUGAAUGGUGCUAUUUGGAGAUGUGACAUCCUUUCUGCUCUCCUUAAUUUGAUUUCUCUUUGCACUUAUUCGCUAUUGCACCGGGUAGGUUUCCUACCAAGCCUGGAAACUCUGGGCAUGCGCAACGCUAGCUUGUAUCCUUCCAACACUGUAACAGAAAGAAAACAGAGUCUUUCCUUUCAGUCUGAGUAGAAAGUCCCCAAGAAGAACUGAUUGUCCUGGACUAGAUUACGUGUCUAUUCCUGAACCACUGUAACCUCAAGGAUGGAGUCCUCUGAUUGUGGGAGCCCAGGUCAGGUGCUCACCCUCUCAAAGAUGCAAGGGACAUUUGUAAUAGAACCAUUGGGGAUUUAAAACCCAAAGAAGUGACACAUGAAAGGUUGGGAUUGAAAGCCUGAAGAAGCGACACAUGAAAGGCAAACUAGAGUUACUAUGAUGCACCAUAAACAAAAACAUUAUUAUUUUCUGAUGUUUGAAGUUAUUAAGACAUUUCACUGCAGCUGUACUAUAUCUCUUCACCAUUACCGCCAUGAAUGAGAAAUUACUUUUCCAUAUACUAUCUUCAUGUGAACAUGUUUUUUUAACAAUCCUGAGAAGAGCUGGUGACUCUCUCUGUUACUGUAAAGGCAAGAGGUGAAAAUAGGAAUUCAGCAGGCAUUCUGAGUGUGUUAACAAAAUACUAAAAAGUCAGCGUGGCUUCAGGAAGACAGCGUGUGUUUAUCAGAUGUUCUUGUUCUGGCACAUAAACAAAUAGGACUGUGACUAAGGAAAUGAUAUGUGGACAUGUUUCCUGAAAUUUAAGUGGGAGUAUUGUUCAGUGAGUGAAAGAUUUGGUCUGGGAAUUUAUAACUUUUGAGGGUCAUUACAAAGAUUAGAUAUGUAUGGAUGAAAAAUAAAGUAUAUAAAAACCAAAGGUCAACUGUUAGUCAAUUUGAGUUUAAUAUGAGUGCCGCCUCCUGUCCCUCAAAUUUCUUUAUCCACCCUUUUUAAGUUUCUGUCCAUCUUAUUUUAUUUCUGGCUUUUUAGAGCCACACCUGUGUCAUAUGGAAGUUUCCUGCCUAGGAGUUGAAUUGGAGCUACAGCUGCUGGCCAACAUCACAGCCAGAGCAACACGGGAUAGGCCUCGUCUUUGACCUACACCACAGCUCAUGGCAACACUGGAUCCUUAACCCACUGAGUGAGGCCAGGGAUUGAACCUGCAUCCUCAAGGAUACUAUUUGGGCUCAUUUCCACUGAGCCACAAUGGGAACUCCCCAUUUUAAAAACCUGUUCUUUCUAGCCUAUAUACAACCUUAUUGAUAUUUUUAGCCUUUAAUUUUUUUUACAUCCAGAGUUUUGUUGCUAGUAUGAUCCCCGCUUUAUACACAAGGAAGCUGAUGUAUAGGGAGGCUAAGUAAUUUGACCAAGCUUGAAAAAGCUCUUCAGUGGAAGAACCAGGAUAUGGACCAAGACAGGCUGGCUCCAGAACACAUGCUCUUAACUAUCCCGUUUUGGUUCAUUUGUACUAAUUCAAGGUAAAUGUUUGAAAUCCUGUGCAUGGUCCAAUUCUCCUCUUGCAGGAGUGUUUUUGUGUGAUCAGAUAGGAUCAUUGUAUUCAGUCAUUUGUUAAAUGUAGCAACACUAUUAUCAUGGUUUUUUUUUUUUUAAACUUGGAUGUGCUCUGAAUACAGGGAUAAUCGAGAGCUAGAACUGUUUCAUCUUCUUACUAGCUGUGUGGAUACAGGAUUCUUCACUUUCGACAAAGGGAACAACAUCCUGGCUUCUUGACAUGCCUCGAAAAUUAUUGGGAGAAAAAGAGACAGGAAGUGUGAAUUGAAGAUGCAUUAAGAAAAUUGGCACCAUGAAAAUGAAGCAAAUUGAAAGCAACACCAGCUUCUCACGAUCUUUUGUCAUCUCAUUUUCCUGGUUUUGUCCUGUCUAAUUUAGAUCAUAAACUCUCCAGUUAGAAACCAUCACCUCUUUAUACUGAGUACUAAGUCUGGUGUCACUAUUUAAUACAAACACAAGAAGCAGCAGCAAAGGUUUGAAAUUAAAUCCACAAACGUAAGGUGAAAGUUACAUUAAGCUCCAACUUUGGUUCAUUAUAGUGAAGUUAAGAUAAGGGUAUGGAUUUAUUUCCUUCAUUUUCCUAAAACUAGUGUAAAGUAGCAAUUAAGAGAAUGUGGUCCAGAGUCAGAUUUCCUGGGUAAUAAUUCUGGUUUGGCUUCUUAAUAAUUAUAUAAUGUUUAGAACAUACAAUAUUUUACAGACUCUGAGAAACACAAUACAGCUGGCAUUGCCUGAGCACAA